GAUGAACGCUGGCGGCGUGCUUAAUACAUGCAAGUCGAACGGAGACAGUAGCAAUAUUGUCUUAGUGGCGAACGGGUGAGUAACGCGUUGGUGACCUGCCCCGAAGAGGGGGAUAACAGUCCGAAAGGAUUGCUAAUACCCCAUGUGGUCAUUAGGAUUAGAUGCCUUUUGACUAAACGGAUUUAUUCGCUUUGGGAGGGCCUGCGUCCCAUCAGCUCGUUGGUAGGGUAAUGGCCUACCAAGGCUGUGACAGGUAGGGGACCUGAGAGGGUGACCCCCCACAAUGGAACUGAAACACGGUCCAUACACCUACGGGAGGCAG
Molecule: ribosomal RNA, 322 nt
Filed under: uncultured Chloroflexota bacterium
Lineage: Bacteria; Bacillati; Chloroflexota
Description: bacterial SSU rRNA
Rfam family: Bacterial small subunit ribosomal RNA
Source: RNAcentral